GACGAACGCUGGCGGCGCGCCUAAAACAUGCAAGUCGAACGAGAAGCCCGGGCUUGCCCGGGUGGACAGUGGCGAACGGGUGAGUAACACGUGAGGAACCUGCCCCGAAGACCGGGACAACACCGGGAAACCGGUGCUAAUACCGGAUGCCUUCACCGGAUCGCAUGGUCUGGUGAAGAAAUGGAUUCCGCUUCGGGAUGGCCUCGCGGCCUAUCAGCUUGUUUGUGAGGUAAUGGCUCACCAAGGCGACGACGGGUAGCUGGUCUGAGAGGAUGUCCAGCCACACUGGGACUGAUACACGGCCCAGACUCCUACGGGAGGCAGCAGGUAGGAAUCUUGCGCAAUGGGCGAAAGCCUGACGCAGCGACGCCGCGUGCGGGAUGAAGGCCUUCGGGUUGUAAACCGCUUUCAGCAGGGACGAAAUUGACGGUACCUGCAGAAGAAGCCCCGGCCAACUACGUGCCAGCAGCCGCGGUAA
This 478-nucleotide ribosomal RNA is filed under the name uncultured bacterium. RNAcentral's name for it is "partial 16S ribosomal RNA". It matches the Rfam family "Bacterial small subunit ribosomal RNA", at positions 28 to 523 of the family's 1533-position model. The record is from RNAcentral.